GGCCGACAGGCGUAGUCGAUGGAUAACGGGUUGAUAUUCCCGUACCGGUAAAAAACCGUCCAUACUGAUUUUUUGAUGCUAACUGUGAGAAGCCGUUUGUAACCUCUUCGCCUUUUUGGGUGUUGGGGAGCUUGUGGUGGAUUGCAGGACCCGAUUUUUUGAGGUAAACGUAUUAACAGGUGUGACGCAGG
RNAcentral lists this ribosomal RNA (191 nucleotides) under Eucampia antarctica. Its description in RNAcentral is "partial Bacterial large subunit ribosomal RNA". Lineage: Eukaryota; Bacillariophyta; Thalassiosirophyceae; Eucampiales; Eucampiaceae. The record is from RNAcentral.